CAAGGACAUGUAGGGACAAGGACAAGGAGUAAUGGUUUUAAACUGAAAAAUGGCAGGUUAAGGCAAGAUGUUAGUAAGAAAUUCUCUACUGUGUGGGUGGUGAGGCACUGCCACAGGUUGCCCAGAGAAGUUGUGGGUACCCCAGCACUGGAAGUGUUCAAGGCCAGGUUGGGUGGGACUUGGAACAACCUGGUCUGGUGGAAGAUGUCCCUGCCCGUGGCAGUGGGGUUGGAACUAGAAGAUUUUUGAGGUGUCUUCCAGAGCAAACCAUUCUAUGUUUUUCUGAGUCUUUGCCUGCUAAACCAGUCUUUCCUGCCGAGUGGCCAUGCCCCUUUCCCCUUGCAAUUAUGGUGAUAAGAAAAUGAAAGAAAUAAGAGCCAUAUAGAUGAACUUAUGAAUGUUUCCAAGUCACCAUGUCCAGAUGUGAAUCUGAAUGUGGCAUCUCAGGGUGAACAUUCCUGGUUGUUUGCCAGUAGAUUUCCUCAGGAUUUCCAGAUAGCAUUGGCUGCACCCCAGCCUCACCACCUGGCCUACAGGCCCAGUACAGAUCCCCUGUUUUCACUACUGCUGUUUUUAAUAUUUUAUUCUUAAUUAUCCACAUCUUCUACUAAAGCAAGUGGGAGGUGUAUAGGAUCAAGACAUAUGUUCUUCAAGCUCUAGAGCUGGAGCACAUGUACAUGGAGAAGUGCUAUUCAUGCUACAGACCAUGAGGGAUGGGCCCUGAUGAAGGUAUGGUAAAAGAAAAAUCAAAGAAUCUUUGUAGAGACAUCUUACGAAAUUAUUCUGAUAUAUCAAGGACAAGGAAAGCAGUCCUACUUAAACCAUAUCUGAAAUUGUAUGGGUGAGUCAAGUUAAGAAAUUUGGAAGGUUACAGGUCUGUGUUGUUGUUCCUGACCCUGACCCUGUGUGUUGCUCCUGACCCUAAUUCUGAAGGACUUACUCUCCUGCCAUGUUACUGUCCAGCAGCAGCAAGGCUGAUGGCUUCUCAGUCAAGCAGGACUGAUGCUUCUCCCUUGUUUCCUUCAAGGAGCAUCACUUUUUAAGGUACCUGGGAAGAGAAAGAAAAUUUAAUAUGGCCCUGUAUAAUUUUCAUUCUUUGGAAUUGUCAGCAGCAAACAUGGUCUGAACUAAUGUUUCAUCUGGAUGUCCACAGAUCGGCUGAGAAAUCCAAAUAUUGAUUUUAUAUUUCAUGAAGAUGUAUGUCCUCUCUAGUGUUUGGACCAAAGCUUUGUCUCUUUCUCUCUGAUUCUUUGAAUAAGAAAGUUCUAAUUCAGUGCUUAUCAUCCAAUCAGAGCUGUACAUCUCAAAAAUCACAUUUUCUGGUGUGUUUGUCAUGCUAAGAAAUGAUCCUGCUUGAGCAUUAUGGUUCAUAUGGCAGUUAGUUCUUACACUUUACUUACCUGGCUGGAAGAGCUAUCAACUGAUGUUAUGGAUGAAUAAUGUAACAAACUUAAAACCAUGCCCUCUGGCAAAACUUUUCAAGGCAAAUGGGAUGAAUCAUCGAUAAAAAUGUUUUGAAUAUUUAAAAGUGUGCCUGAAACCACCCCUGCAUAAGCUUCCUUUGGCAAAUCAGAAGCUAUAGUAGGAUUAUGAAAGCUAGGCCAUGUGUCUAAGCUCUUCAAAGGCAGCUGUUACUGGCUGCUACUUGACUAGAUGACAUCAAAAUGACUUGUCAAACGAAUAGGGAAAGAAACUAGGGAAGAACUGGAAUAAACUGAGGUCUUUGUACCUGCACGCUUGUUCCAGGAUAGAGACCUAAACAGCAUAGAAACUUGGUAGGUAGUUCUUUUUGGUGUAUUUUGAUGGCCAUGGGCACUGCCCAGGAACUUGAAUGCCCCAGCAAGCCUCUGUUUCUCAUGCACAUUUCUACAUGUGAGUUCUGCUGGCAAGGGAUGAAUUCUACCAGGUAUCAGACCUCACCCUGAAAACUGAGGAGGUUGAAUUAAUUUCUUUGAUCUUGCUUUGCUUGCCAUCCUUGCAACACUGAAUAAACUGGUAUGUUGUAGGAUAUGUUGUAUGUUUGUCUCAUCUGUAGGGUGAGACAAACAAGACUGCAUGAGUGGAUGGGUCUUUUUAAGCACGGUAUUUCUGAAAACCAAGAAGAGCAGCAAAUACCUUCUCUCUGUACUGUGCACACUCCUGCCUUUGAGGAAAGGAGGAAAGAAGAGUCAACACAGCAUCCAUUUUAUUAGGGAAACUACCCAUGAAAGAAGGAAGAAGAAAGGAGUUAGCUGCACUAGUAGCUGGCUGCAGUCAUCUUUCAGCCCUGUUGUUCUCCUGGAGGUGAAGAGGCUGGCAGUUGGGACUGUUGUUUUCUGUGCUCUAAAGGGACAUUGAGCAUGAUGUGCUAACCUGGAGAAGCCAUACCAGCUUUCAUGUAUACUUCACAGAGGUUUUCUUCAUCAGCAGAAAAUUUUGAACAGUUUUCCUGAUGUUUGAAGUUAUGGAGAAAAUGUCUUGCCCAUUCUGAAUCUAUGGAACAUGCACAGUAAUGUGCAUAUGUUGGGCAGCUCGUGGCUGCUACACAAAAGCUUCCUCUUCCCUUUGCAGCACAGUUGAAGUAUGAUGCUAUGGUGGAAAAAGUCACUGAUGUAGAUGGAAGCUCCAGCAAUAAAUAUUGAAUAUUCUUUAUACUUUGC
Non-coding RNA from Taeniopygia guttata (zebra finch), 2639 nucleotides. Lineage: Eukaryota; Metazoa; Chordata; Aves; Passeriformes; Estrildidae. The record is from RefSeq and is a predicted model, not a curated record.